UACAGAGGUCCCAAGCGUUGUUCGGAUUCACUGGGUUUAAAGGGUGCGUAGGAGGACUGGUAAGUCAGUGGUGAAAUCCCCGAGCUUAACUUGGGAACUGCCGUUGAUACUAUCAGUCUUGAAUACCGUGGAGGUGAGCGGAAUAUGUCAUGUAGCGGUGAAAUGCUUAGAUAUGACAUAGAACACCAAUUGCGAAGGCAGCUCGCUACACGAAUAUUGACUCUGAGGCACGAAAGCGUGGGGAUCAAACAGG
This 253-nucleotide ribosomal RNA is filed under the name uncultured bacterium. RNAcentral describes it as "partial 16S ribosomal RNA". It matches the Rfam family "Bacterial small subunit ribosomal RNA", at positions 524 to 776 of the family's 1533-position model. The record is from RNAcentral.